RNAcentral lists this non-coding RNA (184 nucleotides) under Candidatus Glassbacteria bacterium RBG_16_58_8. Its description in RNAcentral is "6S RNA". It matches the Rfam family "6S / SsrS RNA". Rfam says of the family: E. coli 6S RNA was the first non coding RNA to be sequenced, but its function was unknown until recently. It consists of 184 nucleotides that fold into an extended hairpin structure with a large single-stranded internal bulge. The 6S RNA specifically associates with RNA polymerase holoenzyme containing the sigma70 specificity factor. The record is from RNAcentral. Lineage: Bacteria; Candidatus Glassiibacteriota.
AAAUCCCUGCAUCGAGCGUGGGGAAAAGCGAAAUUUUGAGCCAACACUAACAGACUGGGAAUCUGUCUCCGUUGCUCGAUCACAUGCCCGUUCAAACGGGACGUGAGAGAUCAGCGGGAGGAUACCCACCCUAUGUGCAAUAGGUUCAAAAGAUCCCUUUUCUCCUCUCGGUAGCAGGGAUUUU